Molecule: ribosomal RNA, 427 nt
Filed under: uncultured bacterium
Lineage: Bacteria
Description: partial 16S ribosomal RNA
Rfam family: Bacterial small subunit ribosomal RNA
Source: RNAcentral
UGGGGAAUAUGGCACAAUGGGCGCAAGCCUGAUGCAGCCAUGCCGCGUGUGUGAAGAAGGCCUUCGGGUUGUAAAGCACUUUCAGCGAGGAGGAAGGGUAGUGUGUUAAUAGCACAUUGCAUUGACGUUACUCGCAGAAGAAGCACCGGCUAACUCCGUGCCAGCAGCCGCGGUAAUACGGAGGGUGCAAGCGUUAAUCGGAAUUACUGGGCGUAAAGCGCACGCAGGCGGUGUGUUAAGUCAGAUGUGAAAUCCCCGCGCUUAACGUGGGAACUGCAUUUGAAACUGGCAAGCUAGAGUCUUGUAGAGGGGGGUAGAAUUCCAGGUGUAGCGGUGAAAUGCGUAGAGAUCUGGAGGAAUACCGGUGGCGAAGGCGGCCCCCUGGACAAAGACUGACGCUCAGGUGCGAAAGCGUGGGGAGCAAACA